GAUGAAGAACGUAGCGAAAUGCGAUAAGUAAUGCGAAUUGCAGAAUUCAGUGAAUCAUCGAAUCUUUGAACGCACAUUGCGCCCGCUAGUAUUCUGGCGGGCAUGCCUGUCUGAGCGUCAUUUCAACCCUCGCCCCCGGCUUUUGCUGGGAGCGGUGUUGGGGAUCGGCCGCCCGUCACUGGGAGGCCGGCCCCGAAAUAGAGUGGCGACCACGCCGUGUGCUCCUCUGCGUAGUAGUAAAUCACCUCGCAGGCGGACAGCGGUGCGGCCUGCCGUAAAACCCCCAACUCUUUCUGGAUGACCUCAGAUCAGGUAGGAAUACCCGCUGAACUUAAGCAUAUCAAUAAGCGGAGGA
Molecule: unclassified non-coding RNA, 355 nt
Filed under: soil metagenome
Description: partial contains 5.8S ribosomal RNA, internal transcribed spacer 2, and large subunit ribosomal RNA
Rfam family: 5.8S ribosomal RNA (bases 1-120)
Source: RNAcentral